This 253-nucleotide ribosomal RNA is filed under the name uncultured bacterium. RNAcentral describes it as "partial 16S ribosomal RNA". It matches the Rfam family "Bacterial small subunit ribosomal RNA", at positions 524 to 776 of the family's 1533-position model. The record is from RNAcentral.
UACGUAGAGUGCAGGCGUUAAUCGGAAUUACUGGGCGUAAAGCGUGCGCAGGCGGUUUCUUAAGUCAGAUGUGAAAGCCCCGGGCUUAACCUGGGAACUGCGUUUGAAACUGGGAGACUUGAGUGUGGCAGAGGGGGGUGGAAUUCCACGUGUAGCAGUGAAAUGCGUAGAUAUGUGGAGGAACACCGAUGGCGAAGGCAGCCCCCUGGGUUAACACUGACGCUCAUGCACGAAAGCGUGGGGAGCAAACAGG